CCUUCUCUUUGAUUUAGAAUAUUUUAUCAUAAUUUACCAUUCUGUUUAGAUAAAAAAUCUCGAAGCUAAGUUUUUUUUUUCUGGAUUAGGGAAAAGUCUUGUCUCUCAGCCUGAAACACCUAUUAGGAUACACUCUGGGUCUGAAUACUCAUGGUGUUUUCAAUUCCAAGCAAGACAACAAGGAUGAGAGCAGAUUCACUUUUUUCUCUGGCUUAUGCAAGCUGAGGAUCAGGACUACAGUUACUUGAUGUCAUCCGAACCAUCUGUCUCAAAUGGAACCACCAAUGCAAGAGGCAGCAGAGUCAUCUUAAUCUAUGAAAGAAGAUUCAUGUGUUUGGAUGUUUUGUCUUCAUUUAAUGAAGGUAGAAUUAAUGGAGACCUGAAUGCUACCAAGCCUU
Molecule: long non-coding RNA, 398 nt
Filed under: Calidris pugnax (ruff)
Lineage: Eukaryota; Metazoa; Chordata; Aves; Charadriiformes; Scolopacidae
Description: lncRNA (ENSCPUG00000006724.1)
Source: RNAcentral